ACCUUGCCUGUUAUCAGUCACCUUUACGCACAGUUUGGAGUCACGUUUAUUUUUAUUGUACCAGCAGCCAUGUGGGUCUCUUCCCUUCUAGGAGGCAACUCUGGUUGACUCUCCACUCCCACACUGCGGGAAUUGAGGCGCGCAGGGAACAGUUUCUACUGCUGUCCUCCCCAUUACCUCCUCCACCGGGGCUUCAGUUACCACCUCUCUGGAAGGACUUGUACUGCUGAUGGUCGGCAGCUCCGUAUCGCCAGCCGUGACUCUGCCCUGAAAUCUAGCCCGAGGGAGCCAACUGCCUGUUUUGUCAGAUAACACCGACAAAAAUAGCAGCCAUUUGUUGAGCUCACACUAUGUGUCAAGGACUGUGCUCAGUAGAUUCUAUUACUGAUCUAUUUUAUAGAUGAGGAAGCUGAGGCUGAGAGAUCAAGGAGGUGGCCAAGUUUACAGAGCUAGCAAGAUGGGGAGCAGCAGUCAAACUGCGGGUUGUCUGACUUCACUGCCCAGGCUUCUCAUGCUGUGCUAGAGCUGACUCCAAGACAACAUGCUGAUGGGGAAAGCUAGAUUUGAGACAGUUAAAGAAAUAACCAAAGAAGGAAACUCCUGUGUCACUUCACAGUGCCUGCUUGUGAUGGCAGAGUCAGCAUGGGACCUUCAGAGACGCUGGCCGGUUCGGGGCCUGCAGGUCUCAAUGGCAGGCCUCUUCCUGAACAUGCACCACAUCAUACACCUCAGAAUGACCUCUACCUGUUCCCAGAGCUCAGGGUGAAGAUUUAUUCUGGCUUGAGAUGAACAGCUUCAAUCCUGAUGCUUGAAAAACAAGUCGACGAGAAUGUGGGCUGUGGAGCCAGAAGUAUCCAAGUUCAAGUCCCAGCUCUGGCACUUGUUGGCUCUGUGACCUUGAGACGUGAACUCAACCUCUUUGAGUCGAGUGUCUGCUUUGAUGAAAUGGGGACAUCGAUACCUUUGUGGCUGGGUUUGUGGUGAGGAUUCCAUGGAAGCUCAAUUAUUAGAAGGCGUUCUUAUUUAUCUUCAGGAAGUGCCCAUUUUGCAGAUGAGAAGGACUGAGUGAGGCUCAAGGUGUAGGCCCAGGUUGGCUGUGUUCUGCAAGGUUUCUGCAAGGCCUUGGCUUUUGGUGCAUGUGGAGGAAUCUGAACACUAGCCUGCUUUUGCACAGUGUAAUCUUGUCUGAGCCCUUUGUGGCUGUGAAAUGGGGAAAAGUACCCAUGCCAGGCUGCUCAGAGAAGCCAGUGAUGCUGCUCACAUGAGGCCCUGGCUCUGCACCUGGGGUAGAAUUGGCCCUCCGAAGAAUGACUGUUGCUGCCCUCUCUUUUUCUCCCCUGCCUCACUUUACCCCUAAACCAGUGGGCAGCACAGAUACCUUCUCUGCUUCGACAUGGAGCCUAGAGUGGGAGCCCAGAGAGGGAGCCCAUCUUGCCCAGGGCCCCUCAUUCAGGGCCUCUGAGGUGAAUAUUUUAUUCUUAUUCAUGAAUGAGGAAGAUUGGAUUAGGAGGAGGUGGACUAAGAUUAA
Molecule: long non-coding RNA, 1528 nt
Organism: Symphalangus syndactylus (siamang)
Lineage: Eukaryota; Metazoa; Chordata; Mammalia; Primates; Hylobatidae
Source: RefSeq, a predicted model, not a curated record